Molecule: long non-coding RNA, 376 nt
Filed under: Panax ginseng (ginseng)
Lineage: Eukaryota; Viridiplantae; Streptophyta; Magnoliopsida; Apiales; Araliaceae
Description: long non-coding RNA (PGIN_LNC005801)
Source: RNAcentral
GUUCAUCUAUCAAUAUAUGUGGAUGUGUGUAUGCUCGAGUCAUCAAAUCAUAUUUUUUCCGCAAACAUAGUGUGUAUUGUAACUACUUUCUUAUUAUUUCUUGAAAAUCCUAUGCAAGAAACGCUAGUGAUAUAUUGAGAGUUGAGUUGAGAGCGGUGAAAUUAAUCCAUCUAACUUGAUGUUGUAUAUUGUACAUAGUUUGCCUUUCCCCUUAAUAUUGUACCUUAAAGCAAACCCACCCUCCCUCUCUCUCUCUCUCCCUCUGUCUUUGAUGUUCUUGUUUUGUAUCUUCUUGCAGGUUGAGGGACCAAAAUCUCCUGAAGAAAUGCUUACAGUGUUGCAGAGAGUGCUUGAAGAAAGCUCUACUGUUCUUGUU